UGAGAGAGCUGCUGAACUUCCAACAUCAUGUUCCUCUUUCCACUUUCAUUCAUUUCUGCACUUGUUGGUGUCAGUUCUGAACAGGUAUUAACACCCUACACUGAUGUAAAGUGUCUUCAGAAAGGGACAGUUUCUCUCACUUAUAACUACACCUCUUCUGAUAACAUUCUUCUAUGAUAUCGACAAUAUCCCAAAUCAGCACCACAGUUACUGGUUACUGGUUAAGGAGUAUGAAGAUAUUACACCAGGGUUCACUCUAAAUCAUGACAAAAAAGCCAAACGUGUGGAUCUGGAGAUCUCCUCUGCUGAAGUGACAGACUCUGCUCUCUACUACUGUGCCCUGAUGGCCAAUGUGACAAGAAACCCAGAAACACUGCACAAAAACCUUCUUAUGUGAUUCAUACAAUAGCGGAGGGAAACUAUUCCCCCACCCGCCCACCCACCCCCCAUUCUCCCCAGUGGAGGGAACGAGAGAUGCAGUAUCACUGAAGAGAGGACAAAUGAGAGGAGAGGGGAGAUUGAGCAUUUUUAGAGCAACUGUACUUUGGGGUGGAGCUUGUAGCGAAACUAAGCAGGAACGAUCAACAGAAAACAUUUGCAGAUUCAUUUUGUUUGGAGUUUUCAGGUUCUGUUGUGCUAUUAGUCUGUUUACUUCCAACCAUAGCCAUGUUGUUCAUCUGGUCAAUUAUUACAUUCUCAGUAAUAGGUGGCAGUUAUGAGCAGACUAUAGAGCCAAACCAACAUGAAGUGUAUGCAGAAGUGGGUAGUAAUGUUCUUCUUUCCUGCAACUACUCCUCAGCAGACAGUCUACUAUGGUAUAAACAGUCUCCAGGAUCAGCUCCCCAAUACCUUCUGCUCAUCCAGCACUACACUGGGACUGAACAUAGAGCUGAUUCUCUUGAAUCUCGCUUCUCUGGUAAACUGAACAAAGAGAAGACCCGUCGUGUGGAUCUGGAGAUCUCCUCUGCUGAAGUGACAGACACUGCUCUGUACUACUGUGCUCUGAGGCCCACAGUGACAGGAGACCUGCCAACACCGUUCAAAAACUGCUAUCUAUUCAAGAGGAGGAGCUAAACUAAGCAGACCACAUGGGGAUAUCAUUUAGUCUGUCACAGAGGAGUGGUACGUCAGUGUUACUGAGAGAGCUGCUGAACUUCAACCAUCAUGUUCCUCUAUCCACUUUUAUUCAUUUCUGCACUUGUUGGGUGCAGAGCAGAAGAGAAUGUAAGACAGCCAAAAGAAGAUGUAAUGGUCGUAGAAGGACACCCAACAACACUCACUUGUCUAUUUGAUACAACUUCUCCAUCACCAUAUCUCUUCUGGUACAAACUAGCAAAUGAUAAGCC
Oncorhynchus keta (chum salmon) is the source of this 1346-nucleotide non-coding RNA. The record is from the annotation of a RefSeq genome assembly. Lineage: Eukaryota; Metazoa; Chordata; Actinopteri; Salmoniformes; Salmonidae.